RNAcentral lists this ribosomal RNA (1035 nucleotides) under Triticum aestivum (bread wheat). Its description in RNAcentral is "partial small subunit ribosomal RNA". The record is from RNAcentral. Lineage: Eukaryota; Viridiplantae; Streptophyta; Magnoliopsida; Poales; Poaceae.
AUGCAUCGGUUUUCUUGGUGGAAACUUUGUAUCCCCAAAUCUCAAGGAGGCUUAGGAUUUCGUGAUUUUCACUCUUUCAACUUGGCUAUGUUAUCAAAACAAGUGUGGAGAUUGAUUGAGUACCCGGACUCCAUUUGUGCUAAGAUUUUGAAAGCUAAGCAUUUCCCAAAUCAACAUAUCUUAGAUGCGGGUCUGAAGAGGCGGUAUUCUUUUACAUGGCAAAGCAUAGUCGCUGGAAUUCAAACUUUUAAGAGAGGUUAUAUAUGGCGGGUGGGGAAUGGUGCAUCAAUAAAAAUCUGGACAGAUCCUUGGGUACCAACUAGUCCUUCAAGAAAGGUUGUUACAGAGAGAGGAGGCACUUUAAUUGAUAAAGUCUCUGACCUAAUUGAUCCUUUGACUGGGCAGUGGGAUGAGGUUUUGAUCGAUAUAUUUUUUGUUGUGGAUGCGGUCAGAAUCCUCGGGAUACCCUUGAGUCCAUAUAGUUUUGAUGAUUUUGUUGCCUGGCAUUUUAAUCAUCCAGGGACUUUUUCAGUUAGGUCGGCAUACCAUGUGGAAUGGAGACACGAGUUUAGCAAUAAUGCUAACCAAAUAACAUCUUCAUCAGAUGGUACAAACUGUAUAUGGAGUAAAAUAUGGAAGUUGUCAGUUCCCGGUAAGAUAAAGAUUUUCUGUUGGCGAGCACUCCAUGCAACGAUUCAGGUUAAAGCGGUGCUGGUAAACCGUCAUGUUGGAACUGAUGCUAUUUGCCCUAUAAGUCAUGUUGGAUUGGAAGAUAUAUCGCACCUGUUGUUUGAAUGCACUCCUGCAAGACAGUUAUGGAAAUCGUUGAAGCUUGAGGACGGAAUAUUGGGAGCUUUUUCCGUCGAAACAUCUAGUUCACAAAUGUUGGAAGAACUCCUUGAUAACUCAGAUGAUCAAUACCAAAGCCUACAGGGUGUGAGGACAUCGGAGGUCAUAGCAACAACGUGUUGGUAUCUAUGGUGGAUUCGCCAAAGAGCUACUCAUAAUGACAGUGUUCUGCCGCCAACACAUUAG